RNAcentral lists this transfer RNA (73 nucleotides) under Stegodyphus mimosarum. It matches the Rfam family "tRNA". Rfam says of the family: Transfer RNA (tRNA) molecules are approximately 80 nucleotides in length. Their secondary structure includes four short double-helical elements and three loops (D, anti-codon, and T loops). Lineage: Eukaryota; Metazoa; Arthropoda; Arachnida; Araneae; Eresidae. The record is from Rfam by way of RNAcentral.
GCCUGUGUGGUGUAGUGGUCAGCACACUCGGCGCGUAUUCGAGAGGUCCGAGGUUCGAGUCCCGGCGAGGGCA